GCUUACGGCCAUAACACCUUAGGCACGCCCGAUCUCGUCUGAUCUCGGAAGCUGAGCAGGGUUGGGCCUGGUUAGUACUUGGAUGGGUGACCGCCUGGGAAUACCAUGUGCUGUAAGCA
This is a ribosomal RNA of Gadus morhua (Atlantic cod), 119 nucleotides long. The record is from Ensembl. Lineage: Eukaryota; Metazoa; Chordata; Actinopteri; Gadiformes; Gadidae.